UUAUGUGCAUGCCUAUAGAGUUACUGCAUCGGAUCCCAUCAGAACUCCAUAUUUAAGCACGCUUGGGAUAGACUAGUAUUGGGAUGGGUGACCUCCCGGGAAGUCCUAGUGUUUUACAUGCC
Picea glauca (white spruce) is the source of this 122-nucleotide non-coding RNA. NCBI's taxonomy places the organism in Eukaryota, Viridiplantae, Streptophyta, Pinopsida, Pinales, Pinaceae. The record is from Rfam.